This 544-nucleotide ribosomal RNA is filed under the name Scaptomyza nr. mitchelli RL-2013. RNAcentral's name for it is "partial 16S ribosomal RNA". It matches the Rfam family "Bacterial large subunit ribosomal RNA", at positions 1806 to 2620 of the family's 2925-position model. Lineage: Eukaryota; Metazoa; Arthropoda; Insecta; Diptera; Drosophilidae. The record is from RNAcentral.
AACAAAAACAUGUCUUUUUGAAUUAAAUUUAAAGUCUAACCUGCCCACUGAAAUUUUUUAAAUGGCCGCAGUAUUCUAACUGUGCAAAGGUAGCAUAAUCAUUAGUCUUUUAAUUGAAGGCUGGAAUGAAUGGUUGGACGAAAUAUUAACUGUUUCAUUUAAAUUUUUAUAGAAUUUUAUUUUUUAGUCAAAAAGCUAAAAUUUAUUUAAAAGACGAGAAGACCCUAUAAAUCUUUAUAUUUUGUUUGUUUUAAUUAUAAAGAUUAUUUGUGUUAUAACAAAUUAAAAUAUUUUAUUGGGGUGAUAUUAAAAUUUAAAAAACUUUUAAUUUUUAAAACCAUUAAUUUAUGUAUAAUUGAUCCAUUAAUAAUGAUUAAAAAUUUAAGUUACUUUAGGGAUAACAGCGUAAUUUUUUUGGAGAGUUCAUAUCGAUAAAAAAGAUUGCGACCUCGAUGUUGGAUUAAGAUAUAAUUUUGGGUGUAGCCGUUCAAAUUUUAAGUCUGUUCGACUUUUAAAUUCUUACGUGAUCUGAGUUCAAACCGGA